CCCAGCACUCUCCAGUGUGCCACACUGAACCAUCCCUUAAGUUUAAUUUUUACAGCAGGUAGCCUCUGAAAACCAAGUUUUUCCAGGACCAAAGGAUGAGUUCUCAGAAAAAUGAAUUGCCUUACCUGGUUGUAUUUCUUCAUGUUUUCCUUACAGCCAUAGUCAUAAGCUUGAAAUUGAUCUGCAUGUUUUAUCUGUUAGUAUUGUAACAAGGACAAACAAAGUGAAAAUGUUAAGAGACAGAGUGCAGGAGUUGUUUUCUUGCAUAUGAUUGAACUUGAGUCUCUGGCAGUAGACAGGAUUCCAGGGAUACUGAGGAGGGAUUGUGGGAUAAGUGGUUUCACCACCUUUCCCCUUGCUAGCAUUUUCUCCUGAUCUUCAACCACUGCCCUUGUUAUGUUUAGUUAUUAAAGCCUUGCUGCCCUACCUUAAUUGGCUCUUUAAUUAGCUAACAUAGCUCUUUGUGAUACAGGAGCAUGUCAGGGCUCUCACUAGCCUGGGAUACCUCCUCAAAAUCCUGGAUUUUGUGUGCCUGCUUGGUCUGCUCUGCUCUGCUCACAGUAGCAGCAGCGAUAUCAGAGGCUCUGAACUGCAUACAAGAAUAUUGGGAGCAGAGUGUGAUUACCUUAGCACUAAACUCUUGUCUUCUAUGAUUUGUCUAAAAGGAAUAUCAAAAUAAUAAAGGAUUAACCUGUUUUACUGA
Non-coding RNA from Lonchura striata (white-rumped munia), 703 nucleotides. Lineage: Eukaryota; Metazoa; Chordata; Aves; Passeriformes; Estrildidae. The record is from RefSeq and is a predicted model, not a curated record.